This 455-nucleotide ribosomal RNA is filed under the name uncultured bacterium. Its description in RNAcentral is "bacterial SSU rRNA". It matches the Rfam family "Bacterial small subunit ribosomal RNA", at positions 340 to 786 of the family's 1533-position model. The record is from RNAcentral.
UACGGGGAGGCAGCAGUGGGGAAUAUUGCACAAUGGGCGCAAGCCUGAUGCAGCCAUGCCGCGUGUAUGAAGAAGGCCUUCGGGUUGUAAAGUACUUUCAGUCGUGAGGAAGGUGUUAAGGUUAAUAACCUUAGCAAUUGACGUUAGCGACAGAAGAAGCACCGGCUAACUCCGUGCCAGCAGCCGCGGUAAUACGGAGGGUGCGAGCGUUAAUCGGAAUUACUGGGCGUAAAGGGCACGCAGGCGGUUAAUUAAGUUGGAUGUGAAAUCCCCGGGCUUAACCUGGGAAUGGCAUUCAAGACUGGUUAGCUAGAGUCUUGUAGAGGGGGUAGAAUUCCAUGUGUAGCGGUGAAAUGCGUAGAGAUGUGGAGGAAUACCGGGUGGCGAAGGCGGCCCCUGGGACAAGACUGACGCUCAUGUGCGAAGCGUGGGGAGCGAAACGAGGAUUAGAUACC